ACAGGUCUUCGGAUGCUGACGAGUGGCGGACGGGUGAGUAACGCGUAGGAAUCUGUCUUUGAGUGGGGGGCAACCCAGGGAAACUUGGGCUAAUACCGCAUAAGCCCUGAGGGGGAAAGCGGGGGAUCUUCGGACCUCGCGCUGGAAGAGGAGCCUACGUCUGAUUAGCUAGUUGGUAGGGUAAAGGCCUACCAAGGCGACGAUCGGUAGCUGGUCUGAGAGGACGACCAGCCACACUGGGACUGAGACACGGCCCAGACUCCUACGGGAGGCAGCAGUGGGGAAUUUUUCGCAAUGGGGGCAACCCUGACGAAGCAAUGCCGCGUGAAUGAAGAAGGCCUUCGGGUUGUAAAGUUCUUUCGUGGAGGACGAAAAGGUGGGUGCUAAUAUCGCCUGCUGUUGACGUGAAUCCAAGAAGAAGCACCGGCUAACUCCGUGCCAGCAGCCGCGGUAAUACGGGGGGUGCGAGCGUUUAAUCGGAAUCACUGGGCGUAAAGGGUGCGUAGGCGGUGCAUUUAGUCUGUCGUGAAAUUCCCCGGGCUCAACCUGGGAAUGGCGGUGGAA
This 564-nucleotide ribosomal RNA is filed under the name uncultured bacterium. RNAcentral describes it as "bacterial SSU rRNA". It matches the Rfam family "Bacterial small subunit ribosomal RNA", at positions 71 to 631 of the family's 1533-position model. The record is from RNAcentral.